AUGUUGGCUUCAUGGGUUCUUUUGGGAGAUUUCAACCUCAUUUGCCGGGCUACUGACAAAACUAAUGGCGCCAUCAAUCGCCGGAUGAUCAACCGCUUUCAAGCUGCUCUGAAUUCCCUGGAAGUUGAUGAACUGCGGCUCCACAACCGCAAGUUUACUUGGGCCAGCACCUGUCAGCAACAAACCAGAACCAAGAUUGAUCAUGUUUUCUACACGGCGGAUUGGAACAUGCUCUUCCCGCAAUGCCACCUGCGGGCUGCUUCGACCUCGAUCUCAGACCACUAUGCUAUGAUUCUUACUGGACAGGUCUCUCAAAAGUGCUUUCGAGGGUUCAAAUUUGAAAAUUAUUGGCUAAAAAUCCAAGGUUUUCGAGAGGUCAUCCAUCAGUCCUGGGAUGUCCCGGUCCUUCAUGCUGAUGCAAUGUGGCGGUUGAAUCAUAACCUUUGCCGCUUGGGCAAAGCCCUUCGCCUCUGGAGUCGCAGUAGAGUGGGAAACAUGUCCGCUAUCGCCGAGCAAGUGAUUCUUGGGCUGGACUCUGCCCAAGAUGCCCGGGACCUGACGAUCGCCGAGUUGGGGCUACAGUUGUUCCUGCGACAGAAGCUCCUUGGCUUGGCGGCAGUGCAACGGAUCCGUAUCCGCCAGCGAUCCCGCAUGCUCUGGUUGCGCCCAAACCAUGCUAGCUCAAAACUAUUCCACAUCAAGGCUAAUGGUCGUCGUAGACGCAACUUCAUCCCUGUGCUUCAUACUGACUUGGGGCAGCUCUCUAUUCAGGCUGACAAGCAGAGAGAGUUUCCAUCCCACUUCAAGAACUCCAUUGGCUGCUCUCCGUCCAAACCGUGCUCGAUCAACUGGGACUUUUUGCAGAUUCCGCACCAUGACCUGUUGGCCUUGGAAGCAGAAUUCUCUGAAGAUGAAAUCAAAGAUGCUGUUUUUGGUCUGCCGUCCGGGAAGGCACCUGGACCUGAUGGUUUCACAACAGAUUUUUUCAAAUUUUGUUGGGAUAUUGUCAAGGGGGAUCUGAUUGCAACUCUGAACCAAGUCUUCACCCUUCGAGCUAAGCACUGGAACCUCCUUAACCAUGCCAUCAUUUCUCUGCUACCCAAAUCCUUUGAUGCCAUGAGAGUGAAAGAUUUCAGGCCAAUAAGUCUCAUGCACUCCAUUGCCAAGAUUCUAUGCAAGCUGCUGGCCAACCAGCUGGCUCCAUUCCUGCACAUCCUGGUCCCCCAGUCUCAGAGCGCUUUCAUCAAGACACGUAGCAUUCACGACAAUUUUCUCUAUGUCAAGAAUGCGGUCAGAUCUCUUCACAAGUCAAAAACUGCCGCCUUGUUUCUGAAACUGGACAUUGCCGGUGCUUUCGAUUUAAGUCUCCUGGGGUUACAUGUUCAAGCUCAUGACUGCCAUGGGUUUUGGACACAGAUGGUGUGA
This 1425-nucleotide ribosomal RNA is filed under the name Triticum aestivum (bread wheat). RNAcentral's name for it is "partial small subunit ribosomal RNA". Lineage: Eukaryota; Viridiplantae; Streptophyta; Magnoliopsida; Poales; Poaceae. The record is from RNAcentral.